UACGGAGGAUGCGAGCGUUAUCCGGAUUCACUGGGUUUAAAGGGUGAGUAGGCGGGUUAGUAAGUCAGUGGUGAAAGUCUGUCGCUUAACGAUAGGAUUGCCAUUGAUACUGCUGAUCUUGAAUUCAGUUGAGGCAGGCGGAAUGUGCAGUGUAGCGGUGAAAUGCUUAGAUAUUGCACAGAACACCAAUUGCGAAGGCAGCUUGCUAAACUGAUAUUGACGCUGAGUCACGAAAGCGUGGGGAU
Molecule: ribosomal RNA, 245 nt
Filed under: uncultured bacterium
Lineage: Bacteria
Description: partial 16S ribosomal RNA
Rfam family: Bacterial small subunit ribosomal RNA
Source: RNAcentral